This is a non-coding RNA of Danio rerio (zebrafish), 406 nucleotides long. The record is from RefSeq and is a predicted model, not a curated record. Lineage: Eukaryota; Metazoa; Chordata; Actinopteri; Cypriniformes; Danionidae.
CGACUUAACCGGUGAGUUAUUUUCAUGUGUUCAGUGUUGUCAUUUAACAACAUUUACCAUACUACGAUGUUGUGAUUGUUUUGUUUAAGAUUUAAUAUUUGGAUAUUUACAGACUUUGACUUCAGAAUCAGACGACGCUUCACAAAACCAGAAAUCAUGGAGAAAUUUGAUCAUCAUCACAUCUGUCCUGGUUUGCGCUUUAGCCGUCAUUGCAGCUAUUGGUUUGGUCAUAAGAUGUGCUGAUAAAAAAUGUAAUGAAGUGAAAGAGCAACAGUUUGUUGAAACUGUUUUGUUGAAGCAUCUCAGCGGAAGCAGAUCUUGUCAGAGCGAGUGCAUCUUCACUCUUCUGCAGUCAAAUACAGAUGCAGAAACAGAACACGAGAGAGUCAGAGAAGUUUAAAGCACG